RNAcentral lists this transfer RNA (74 nucleotides) under Loxodonta africana (African savanna elephant). RNAcentral's name for it is "tRNA-Thr (AGT) (tRNA-Thr-AGT-7-1)". It matches the Rfam family "tRNA". Rfam says of the family: Transfer RNA (tRNA) molecules are approximately 80 nucleotides in length. Their secondary structure includes four short double-helical elements and three loops (D, anti-codon, and T loops). Lineage: Eukaryota; Metazoa; Chordata; Mammalia; Proboscidea; Elephantidae. The record is from Rfam by way of RNAcentral.
GGCUCUGUGGCUUAGUUGGUAAAAGCGCCUGUCUAGUAAACAGGAGAUCCUGGGUUCGAAUCCCAGCGGAGCCU